Molecule: long non-coding RNA, 650 nt
Organism: Lineus longissimus
Lineage: Eukaryota; Metazoa; Nemertea; Pilidiophora; Heteronemertea; Lineidae
Exons: 10
Source: RefSeq, a predicted model, not a curated record
AGAGACGGCAUUUGCGGCUGCGGCACGGUUCAUGGCGGUUGUGAAAAUCAAAAGUCGCAAAGAUGAUAAACUCUGGACUGUAUUCCCUAGAAAUCGGGAACGGGCAGUCUUGUAGUUGUAAGAUGGUCAAUAGUUGACAGGUAUCUGGUGGUGUUAUGGUCCAACUCGACCCUCCUUGACAAGAUGCUUAAGGUCCUGUUCAAUAGCUGGCGAAUUGAACUCUGAUUCGUGACAUCUUUGCAAAAAUGCAAGGCACAUAGUCGGUCCUCGGACUGAACUGUGAAUUCUGCCUAUACAGUGGUUGCCAAGUACAGGAGUAUUGGCUCAACAUUUCCUUCACGCGACGGAGAGAUUAGGCAGUUGGCUUGUUCGGUUCUGCCUCAUGUCUCUGCACCCAGUUGAUCCUUCAAUGAAGCUGUCUCGUUGCCAGUUUAAAGACUGGAGCAGGACUCGUUAGCUGUGAUGAAAGAGCCCAGAACAUGCUAUGUCCAAGGAACAGAGAUGGGUUCACAUCAUGAAGGAAUUAUUUCAAGUCGAAUUCAGUCUGCAAGGCAGUUUUGUAAGAUUCGAAUACGUUUAAACGAUAUAAAGGAAUUUUGUGCAGUUGUAAAGUUCUGUUAAUAUGCUUUCAAUAAAAUAUGGGUUUUGUA